Molecule: small nucleolar RNA, 213 nt
Filed under: Choloepus hoffmanni (Hoffmann's two-fingered sloth)
Lineage: Eukaryota; Metazoa; Chordata; Mammalia; Pilosa; Megalonychidae
Description: Small nucleolar RNA SNORA53 (ENSCHOG00000014288.1)
Rfam family: Small nucleolar RNA SNORA53
About the family: The snoRNA ACA53 belongs to the H/ACA family of pseudouridylation guide snoRNAs.
Source: RNAcentral
AACAUGCUUCCUUAGAUCCACCUUUGUGGGUGCCAAUCUUGAACUGAGUUCUACUUGGAAACUUUGUGUUUCUUGUAGUUCCAGUCAAAGAAACAUCCAACAACUUUUUUGGUUGUAUAGUCAAAGGUGCUUGAGUCAUUGUCAUGUGAGAUAAAUAUACCUGCAUGUUACUCUUAGGUUCUGAUAGAAAUGACUUGCACUCAUGCCGUCAUU